GUUGGUGUAACUCAGUGGUAGAGUGCAUGCUUUGUAUGUUUGAUGUCUUGGAUUCAAACCCCACCUUAUCCC
This is a non-coding RNA of Dallia pectoralis (Alaska blackfish), 72 nucleotides long. Lineage: Eukaryota; Metazoa; Chordata; Actinopteri; Esociformes; Umbridae. The record is from the annotation of a GenBank genome assembly.